AUGCUCACUUAGCUAUCACAUGGAUUAAAAUUGGUAUGAAGAGAAUAUUAGCAUGCCCUUGUAUAAGGAUUAUGUGCAGAUUUGUGAAAUGUGCCAUAUUUUU
RNAcentral lists this small nuclear RNA (103 nucleotides) under Spermophilus dauricus (Daurian ground squirrel). Lineage: Eukaryota; Metazoa; Chordata; Mammalia; Rodentia; Sciuridae. The record is from RNAcentral.